Eublepharis macularius is the source of this 296-nucleotide long non-coding RNA. RefSeq lists it as uncharacterized. The transcript has 2 exons. NCBI's taxonomy places the organism in Eukaryota, Metazoa, Chordata, Lepidosauria, Squamata, Eublepharidae. The record is from RefSeq and is a predicted model, not a curated record.
CCUGCCGUCUCCAAGGAGACAGAAAACAUCAAGAGACGGCGUCAUCUUGGUCGCCGCAGUCACUUCCGGUCCGGGAUUUGAACCGUUUCAAGCGUUGCCAAUUUCCAGGGCAAGGCUACAAACUGAUCCUGGCAUCACCCUGUGCCCCUUGCUGUCAGCAUUCUGCACAGAGUGCUGGCCCUUCAUGGCCUCAAAGAUUCUCUCCCCUCCUCCCCCUAAACAUCUAACCUGAUGAAGAGAACAUGAAAGGCUGCCUUCGGUUAUUUUGGUUGACCGGAAUAAAAGAUAUGAAAUAG